CCGUAGCCUGGUAGCGGGGGGUAACUACUGGAAACGAUAGCUAAUACCGCAUAACAGUAGAUAUUGCAUGAUAUCUACUUGAAAGGUGCAAUUGCAUCACUACCAGAUGGACCUGCGUUGUAUUAGCUAGUUGGUGAGGUAACGGCUCACCAAGGCAACGAUACAUAGCCGACCUGAGAGGGUGAUCGGCCACACUGGGACUGAGACACGGCCCAG
Molecule: ribosomal RNA, 216 nt
Filed under: uncultured bacterium
Lineage: Bacteria
Description: partial 16S ribosomal RNA
Rfam family: Bacterial small subunit ribosomal RNA
Source: RNAcentral